Molecule: ribosomal RNA, 1533 nt
Filed under: Klebsiella pneumoniae
Lineage: Bacteria; Pseudomonadati; Pseudomonadota; Gammaproteobacteria; Enterobacterales; Enterobacteriaceae
Description: bacterial SSU rRNA
Rfam family: Bacterial small subunit ribosomal RNA
Source: RNAcentral
UUGAAGAGUUUGAUCAUGGCUCAGAUUGAACGCUGGCGGCAGGCCUAACACAUGCAAGUCGAGCGGUAGCACAGAGAGCUUGCUCUCGGGUGACGAGCGGCGGACGGGUGAGUAAUGUCUGGGAAACUGCCUGAUGGAGGGGGAUAACUACUGGAAACGGUAGCUAAUACCGCAUAAUGUCGCAAGACCAAAGUGGGGGACCUUCGGGCCUCAUGCCAUCAGAUGUGCCCAGAUGGGAUUAGCUAGUAGGUGGGGUAACGGCUCACCUAGGCGACGAUCCCUAGCUGGUCUGAGAGGAUGACCAGCCACACUGGAACUGAGACACGGUCCAGACUCCUACGGGAGGCAGCAGUGGGGAAUAUUGCACAAUGGGCGCAAGCCUGAUGCAGCCAUGCCGCGUGUGUGAAGAAGGCCUUCGGGUUGUAAAGCACUUUCAGCGGGGAGGAAGGCGAUAAGGUUAAUAACCUUGUCGAUUGACGUUACCCGCAGAAGAAGCACCGGCUAACUCCGUGCCAGCAGCCGCGGUAAUACGGAGGGUGCAAGCGUUAAUCGGAAUUACUGGGCGUAAAGCGCACGCAGGCGGUCUGUCAAGUCGGAUGUGAAAUCCCCGGCUCAACCUGGGAACUGCAUUCGAAACUGGCAGGCUAGAGUCUUGUAGAGGGGGGUAGAAUUCCAGGUGUAGCGGUGAAAUGCGUAGAGAUCUGGAGGAAUACCGGUGGCGAAGGCGGCCCCCUGGACAAAGACUGACGCUCAGGUGCGAAAGCGUGGGGAGCAAACAGGAUUAGAUACCCUGGUAGUCCACGCCGUAAACGAUGUCGAUUUGGAGGUUGUGCCCUUGAGGCGUGGCUUCCGGAGCUAACGCGUUAAAUCGACCGCCCGGGAGUACGGCCGCAAGGUUAAAACUCAAAUGAAUUGACGGGGCCCGCACAAGCGGUGGAGCAUGUGGUUUAAUUCGAUGCAACGCGAAGAACCUUACCUGGUCUUGACAUCCACAGAACUUUCCAGAGAUGGAUUGGUGCCUUCGGGAACUGUGAGACAGGUGCUGCAUGGCUGUCGUCAGCUCGUGUUGUGAAAUGUUGGGUUAAGUCCCGCAACGAGCGCAACCCUUAUCCUUUGUUGCCAGCGGUUAGGCCGGGAACUCAAAGGAGACUGCCAGUGAUAAACUGGAGGAAGGUGGGGAUGACGUCAAGUCAUCAUGGCCCUUACGACCAGGGCUACACACGUGCUACAAUGGCAUAUACAAAGAGAAGCGACCUCGCGAGAGCAAGCGGACCUCAUAAAGUAUGUCGUAGUCCGGAUUGGAGUCUGCAACUCGACUCCAUGAAGUCGGAAUCGCUAGUAAUCGUAGAUCAGAAUGCUACGGUGAAUACGUUCCCGGGCCUUGUACACACCGCCCGUCACACCAUGGGAGUGGGUUGCAAAAGAAGUAGGUAGCUUAACCUUCGGGAGGGCGCUUACCACUUUGUGAUUCAUGACUGGGGUGAAGUCGUAACAAGGUAACCGUAGGGGAACCUGCGGUUGGAUCACCUCCUU